CCCUUAGAUGUCCGGGGCUGCACGCGCGCUACACUGAAGGAAUUAGCGUGCUAAAACCAUUGUCGAAAGGCAUUGGUAAACCCAUUAAAAUCCUACGUGAUUGGGAUCGGGAAUUGCAAUUAUUUCCCUUGAACGAGGAAUUCCCAGUAAGUGUGGGUCAUAAGCUCGCGUUGAUUACGUCCCUGCCCUUUGUACACACCGCCCGUCGCUGCCCGGGACUGAGCCGUUUCGAGAAAAGCGGGGACUGCUGCUGUCGGGGCUUUCGGGCCUUGGCUUCGGUGGAAACCGCUUUAAUCGCAGUGGCUUGAACCGGGCAAAAGUCGUAACA
RNAcentral lists this ribosomal RNA (328 nucleotides) under uncultured eukaryote. RNAcentral describes it as "partial 18S ribosomal RNA". It matches the Rfam family "Eukaryotic small subunit ribosomal RNA", at positions 1470 to 1796 of the family's 1831-position model. The record is from RNAcentral.